This 264-nucleotide long non-coding RNA is filed under the name Rattus norvegicus (Norway rat). RNAcentral describes it as "long non-coding RNA NONRATT018777". The record is from RNAcentral. Lineage: Eukaryota; Metazoa; Chordata; Mammalia; Rodentia; Muridae.
UCCCUUGCACAUUCCUCGGGAUGGGAGGCUUGCUGUUUCAGGAGAGUACCUGAAGGCCUUGCUGUUGGCUGUCCUGAAGAGGUGGUUCCUGCCUCAUCACAACAGUGAGUCUCACAGGAUUACAUCCUGCUGACCGUCCCGGAGUAACCAUUCUGCUGGGGCUCUAUCCCUGCCCACAGCUGCACACACUCAAGAGCCCGAAGUCCAGGAUCAGCGUCAGUCCCAGUGCAGUUCACGGCUGUAAUAAAGAUGUUUCCUCUGUGA